Long non-coding RNA from Nerophis lumbriciformis (worm pipefish), 3821 nucleotides. RefSeq lists it as uncharacterized. NCBI's taxonomy places the organism in Eukaryota, Metazoa, Chordata, Actinopteri, Syngnathiformes, Syngnathidae. The record is from RefSeq and is a predicted model, not a curated record.
UUGAGUGCUUCCGGGGUGGGGCUUACGUUUGACUGACAGCCCCGCAGACCAAUCAUCGCGCUCUUCCCGCUAACCAGCGCCACUCGACGAGUGACAAUGGCGUAGCAGAGGAGCGGGAGGGGACGCGUUUUGUUCCCGGACUCCCUUUGCCCCUUUCCCCUUCUGCGGAGAAGGUCUGUGUUUCAAUUACAGACACUUCCUCGACGGGGUUUAGUCGUUUGACAAGACGGAAAGCGAACAAAGCGGUCGGUGUGACCGUGGAAGAAGAAGUCCUCCAGCCAUUGUUUAGCAGUGUGUGCUAAGCUGCUGCAAACAUCUCUUCAUCAUCAUCAUCAUCCUCAUCCUCUGCAGCAUCCUUCUUCUGCAUCAUCACCACUUACCUUUAAGGAUGGAUGCACUGGCGAGGGCGCCUGAUCCAGACUGGACGGACUGCGCUCGGACCGCCGCUGCCUCGCUGGUCUGUGGUGAACUGUGAACAUGACCUCCAUGGGGAGGUCGGGGCCUGAGCGAGGGGGGUUUCUUCAGCCCCCCCAGGCCUCCACCAGAGUGAGGAUGUUGAGUCAAACAUAGUUUGUUUUAUUUCAAUCGUUUUUCCUGUAAAGACACAAAAUACUGUAGCAGCUCAUCAUCAACAUCAGUGCUACCUCCUAGCCAACAUAAUGCUAAGCAGCAGAAACAAAAUUAAUGAGCACUUUUGUUUUGUUGUUUUUUUACACAAAAUUAUCUGCGGUUUUUUUGUCAUCUUCUUUGCUAGAAACGGAAUUAGUCUCCUGGUUUGGUCGUCUUUUGACAUUCUUACCCCAUUUCAUGAUGCUGUGCCAGGCCACCUUUUCCUGAUUUCAAAAAAGGUACUUUUUGUAUCAGAAGCGAUCCGGGAUGUGUGCAAUAUUGAAUCUAAACUGUCAUGUUGUUGACCAAGCUGUAUAUUGUGUAAACGAGUGACACGUUGUUUGACAAAGCAACAAAAUCACCAACGUCUUCCAUUAAAGAUUUGUAUAGUCUCACAUUAGAGCUCAUUUGAGGCCCUCUAGAAUGUAGUCACCAUGCAUGACCAGUAGUGAUCGAUUUAUGCUUCAUGGGCAGUAGUGAGCACAACGAACAACACUUUUGGACUUUUUAGGGCUGAUUUCACACUUAAAAUUCGCCUUUUUAAUUUUUUUUUAGACCCGAAUGGGUUUGGAAACAUUUAGUUUCAGCUCACACCGGUCCAAAAAAAACCCAGUGUACUUUAAUGCGUCACAGUACGCCACGUGACGUUGUUCUCUUUUCCUAUUGGCUAGCGGUGCUCAUUAACGGCGAGAAGGAACGUCGCUAUCAUAAACAGGAAGAAGGGACGUCGCUAACGUGUCCUUUAUUGAUAACUUCAACAAACAUAGGAACAUACGAGCAGACCGCAGUACUCCACUAAAUAGCCGAGCACUUAAUUAAAGAGGACGUCGCCGAGAAAUUGUUCUCCUUCUCACACCGGAAAGACGAAGUAAGUGACGUAAAGGACACUCGUGCUGUUUUUUUUGCUGAGUCAGGCGGUCAGUUUGCUUUCAUUCCUCUUUUUAGUGUGUUAGAGAUUUAUUUAUCAUCAACUAUAUCCUUAUCUAUACUAUUAUGCUUGACAGUUUUAUAAUUAUUUAAGUUGUCAAAAAAAAACAAUAGUUUUUGCUGUUUUAUUUGCUACUCCGACCUUCUUCCGGUCACGUGAUGUAGUUAUAUUUCCUUGUUUCUUUUUGCGAAGGAACGUCGCAUAUGUACCUCAUUUAUAACUUCAAUAAUAAUUACCUAAAGUCUAAGGUUAAAAAAUUAUUUCUUCUUUUUUAGUGGGUUAAGGCUGAGGGAUUAUUUACCCGAUUUUGCUUAACGGUUCAUAUAAUUGUUUCGAGGUGUCAAAAAAAAGCCAAAUGGUCUUCCUGUUUACUUCAUUACGUUGACCAAUGGGAGAAGAGAGCGAUGUCACGUGGCUCGGUCGCAUAGAAUUGUUAUUUACUAACACGUCAACAGAUGGUACGUAGGGCCUAAAUACAUAGAUGUCAAUUUUAUGUAAAAUAACUAGGGAUGUCCAAUAAUGGCUUCUUGCCGAUAUCCGAUAUUGUCCAACUCUUAAUUAAUCGAUACCGAUAUCAACCUAUGCCGAUAUCAACCGAUACUGAUCUAUAUAGUCGUGGAAUUAACACAUUAUGCCUAAUUUGGACAACCAGGUAUGGUGAAGAUGAGGUCCUUUUUAAAGAAAUUGAUCAAAUAAAAUAAGAUAAAUAAAUUAAAAACAUUUUCUUGAAUAUAAAAGAAAGUAAAACAAUAUAAAAACAGUUACAUAGAAACUAGUAAUUAAUGAAAAUGAGUAAAAUUAACUGUUAAAGGUUAGUACUAUUAGUGGACCAGCAGCACGCGCAAUCAUGUGUGCUUACGGACUGUAUCCCUUGCAGACUAUUGAUAUAUAUUGAUAUAUAAUGUAGGAACCAGAAUAUUCAUAACAGAAGUGAAUUAUAUUUAUAUAGCGCUUUUCUCUAGUGACUCAAAGCGCUUUACAUAGUGAAACCCAAUAACAGAAAGAAACAACCCUUUUGUGUGAAUGAGUGUAAAUGGGGGAGGGAGGUUUUUUGGGUUGGUGCACUAAUUGUGUUUUUUAUGUUGAUUUAUAAAAAAAACACACAAAAAAAACCGAUACCGAUAAUAAAAAAACGAUACCGAUAAUUUCCGAUAUUACAUUUUAAAGCAUUUAUCGGCCGAUAUCGGACAUCUCUAAAAAUAAAAUGUAAUCAUUGAGUUAAUAAUUGAUUAUUUUGUAUUAUUAUCACAAUUUAAUUCAUUUAUUUAAAUAUUUACAUAAUUAAUACACAGGUAAUUAUUUAAUUUUGUCUCAUUUGGCCCGCCAUUUGAUUGAAGCAAAAUACACCCGUUUUUUUAAGUGUGAAAGCAUCCCGUAAAUAUUUGCCCUUAAAAAAAAAAGGCAUAGUUCAAAUGUGAUAAGAGUAUAUAAUUAAAUUAACUGAUGCAUGUUUAAUAAUUAGUGUAUUUAAAGAAGGUUCUAUUCCAAAAACUAUUAUAAUUGUAGCAGUAUUCAUUCACUAGAAUUUAAAAAUGUAUUAUUUUCCCCCUCCUAGUGGCAUUGUGUUGUGUAUAUACAACCCCACUAUUUGGGAAAGGAAUCCAUAAAAUUGUACAGGAUUAGGCUUGUAGAACUACUAAUAAUGCAGUAUUAAUGCAUGAGUAUAGUGUGAGGGUGUCAAUGUUUUACUCCCUCUCUUGUAGCUUCAUAUAAUCACAUCUUUUCAGUGGAUUUGGGGAUUAUCCCUGUAGAUAAAUGUUUGUUUUCCUGUAUUUGUUACAAAACAUGUCCUAUCGACCCAUCAUUCCAAAAAGAAGCACUUUCUAUGUACUGCCUUGCACUGUCUUUAAAAUACAUAAUGCUUUGAAGGACUUUUGAAGUUUUUUUUGCGAGUAGGCACAUAGUAGCGGUAUUAUGGAGUUUAAAAAAAACAAAACAUAUGCAUGGUUUAGCAGACAUGAUUGUAAUGCAUGCAAUAAUCCAACUUUGUCAUGUGAACGAGGAUGGUUGUUUGUAAUCGUAGCAGGCAUGUUGUAGCUUUUAUUCCCCUCCCAAAAAGGCGCACAAAAAAAGUGUGUCAACAAAAAUGAAGAUGAGGAUAUUGUUGACUGACUCUGUAAAAGUGAAAAAAACUAUGCACUCCAGAAUGAUGUAAGGGGGCAUGCUUAUAUUAACGUUAGCAUCUUGAAUGGUUUUUGUACAAACAAAUGAAGACUCCGUAUUAGAAACGCAGCAAUAAUAACUAUCAUGUAUUAAUAAAAAUGCAGCAUGGUGCCAACAACAA